AGUCCUGUCACUCCAAAGGAGCUACUGUUUACAGAUGCCACAGUGACACCGCACCUCAUGGCACUGCUUAGCAGGUUCCACUAUAUCCAGGAGUACAUCUGUCGGAUCGUCUCACACUGCUGUAAAGGGGCCAGAUCAUCAAACAAUUUUAUUUAGCUGUGGUGCAGUUAAGAAUAUUGCUCACCUACUAACCUCAUUCUUCUACAAAGUUCAAAUGCAAGCACUGAAAUGUUUCUCAGUUUUACCCUGGUAAAUGUUUUGGUUGAUGGAGAAUUGUUAUCACAGAUUUUUGUGAUGAUGUUACAGAGGGAUAAGCAUAUUGAGAUGCAGCUUACAUCAGCAAAAUGUUUAACUUACACUUAUACAGCUGUAGCAAUUCAGACAGAUAACAAAUGUAUUAAAGACAUUGCCUUAUUUGGUUCAAAUGUGCAGUAAGAAGAGAUUACUAGAGGAGAGAGUUAAAGGAGCUGAGACACUCGCUUAUCUGACUGAACCAGAUAUUGAGCUACAGAGAAUCCCUAGCGUAACUGAUCACCUCAUUGCCAUGUUUGCUGACUAUUUCAAGUAUCCCAACUCAUUGAGUGCCAUCACUGAUAUUAAAAGGCUUGAUCAUGAUUUAAAACAUGCUCAUGAACUCUGCCAGGCUGCAUUCAAUCUCUACGACUCUCUUAGAGCAAAUGAUGAAGACAUUCAGAAGAAAAGCCCUGAGACUGAAACUAUGAUGGACUGAAUUGUGACUGGCUUGUCUGAGUCUAGUGUCAAGGUGCGGUUACCUGGUUACCUGCUGUCAGAUGUUUGCACCGUUUAUCCAGAUCUGUGCAGCAGCUUCAAAACAGUUUCUAGGAUCACACUCGGUGAAAACCUUUAAUGAAGGUUUUACAAAAUGCACCAGAUGAAAUCCUAGUAGUAGCAUCUUCCACGGUAUAUAAUCUUCUUGAAUUUUCUCCAAGGAAAGAGUCAAUUUUAAAAUCAGGAGUUGUAAAUCUACUUUGUGGAUUAACCCAGAGUGAAAAUCCUGCUUUACGAGUGAGCAGAAUUUGGGCUUUAAUGAAUAUGGCAUUUCAGGCUGAACAAAAAAUAAAACCAGACAUGUUACAAAGCUUGAGUACUGAACGGCUAUUCUGGUUAUUAUCAGAUUCAGAUUUGAAUGUGCUGAUGAAGACACUGGGACUUCUCAGAAAUCUCCUCUUGACCUGGCUUCAUAUAAUAAAAUGAGUACUUAUGGAAAGCAAAUUAUGCAAGCUGUCAUCCUUAUCCUGGAAGGGGAACAUAACUUUAAGGUCAAAGAGUAGAUACUGUGCAUCUUAGCCAAUAUAGAAGAUGAGACAACAGCAAAAGAAUGUAUUAUGACCAAUGAUGAUAUCCUUCAGAAAAUCAAAUAUUACAUGGACCAUUCACAUGUCAAACUGCAGCUUCCAGCUAUUUUUUGUAUAUCAAACCUCAUACGGAAUGAAGAGGAAGGUUCACAAGAAUGCCAGGGUAAAUUAUGAGACAUUGGCAUCAUAGAUAUUCUACAUAAACUGAGUCAGUCACCAGAUUCAGACCUUUGUGACAAGGCAAAGAUGGCACUGCAGCAGUACCUGGCAUGAUGAGAGUGCCCCUAGGCACCUGUGAGCAUCCUACAUCCUUGUUUAAGAAAGCACAGGUGGCUCAUGCCUGUAAUCUCAGCACUUUGGGAGGGUGA
RNA transcript from Nomascus leucogenys (northern white-cheeked gibbon), 1684 nucleotides. It is a transcript of the gene named armadillo repeat-containing protein 8 pseudogene, with no coding region annotated. NCBI's taxonomy places the organism in Eukaryota, Metazoa, Chordata, Mammalia, Primates, Hylobatidae. The record is from RefSeq and is a predicted model, not a curated record. The transcript has a single exon.